AAAAGCAGAGCUAAGAUAUAAAGAUGUUCCUUACUAAGUUACUAAAGCAUCUUAAACUGGGAUCUAUCUGCAUCACAAUAUAGAAAUAAGUUACCAUUCGCAGAUAAUCGACUAGUUCCCCAAAAUUGGGGAACCAGUUGCACCAGAAACUGUUAGACCCAAAGGGAUAUUCAGUACAAUUAUUGUUCAAUUAUCAAUGAUUGGUACAACCGAGGGAAAAGUUGGAAAUUCUGUUGAAGGAGUCAGUCAUAAUUAACAUAGGUUGGGAACUGCAUGGUUAUUAAUAUAAACUGCAGAAAAAUGCACUCUUGGAUCAUCCAAUAGAUUGAAGUUGAACCCUAGAGGAAUCAAGUCUUAUUUGGGAUGGAAGUGGUCAAAUGGCAUCAAUUGGGACAUCAAAGCUACAAUGGGAGGAUGAGUUGGCCUAUUAACUUAUUCUUUUCACGAUCAAUGAUGGGGAGGCCCUUUCAAAGGAACAUGUCAAAAAAAAUCUCAAGCUUGUUGCACAAGGCAAUUUUGGCGGCAAUUACAACAAAAAAGCAUGAUUACGAAUCUGGUAUCAGGAUCCGGACAUGGCGGUUGUUCCUGUUAAGAAGAAAUCCCAGCAGAACCGCAGGGAGAAGUUACAAGUUGUUGGGGUCAGUCUCCUCUUCCUAGAGCAUUAGAUCUGCCAAACGACUGAUCUAAGACCAAGCGGCUUCGAUAUCAAUCACUUCAACAAAGGGAGACAGCUCAUUUCCAUCAAAACUUUGAGGAAAGUUUAUACAAGAUAUUGCAUAAGGAAAUAUAAGUUUCAAAUUCAUUUAAAGUAGUUGGGUCUGCAAUAUGAAAUGUCACUUUUUGAGACGAGAUUGGUUAUGAAUCAUAACUUAUGAUGUAUCAAUUUUUAAGAUCGUUUUAGGUCAAAGUAGGACCGAUCCAAACAUGUACACAUACAAUAUUGUUACACUUCCCUUCAAGGCAAGGCAAAUGAUUUAAUGAAGUAUGAUAUGUUUCAUCUACGAUCACAAAAAUUGUAUAAUAUAUACCGAUCGCGACAUCAAAAACGUAUUCCUGUUCAGGAAGUUUUGAGGGACGUGGUGUGGGUAUGCAUCAUUUGUCAUGUGAUCAUGUUUUGUUCGAUUGAGAAGUUCAGAAUCAAGUUUGUUACACGUCUUAUGUAUGUAUAUUGACAGAUGAUAAAGAGAAAUCGGUUAGGUGUUCAUGUACAA
Molecule: long non-coding RNA, 1211 nt
Organism: Erigeron canadensis
Lineage: Eukaryota; Viridiplantae; Streptophyta; Magnoliopsida; Asterales; Asteraceae
Exons: 3
Source: RefSeq, a predicted model, not a curated record